GUCUCAGAGAGUUUGAUUAUGGCUCAGGAUGAACGCUAGCGAUAGGCCUAACACAUGCAAGUCGAGGGGCAUCACAUGAAGUAGCAAUACGGAUGGUGGCGACCGGCGCACGGGUGAGUAACACGUAUGCAACCUGCCUUCAACAAGGGGAUAACCCGUUGAAAGACGGACUAAUACCCUAUAACACAGGGGUCCCGCAUGGGAAUAUUUGUUAAAGGACAACCGGUUGAAGAUGGGCAUGCGUUCCAUUAGCUAGUUGGCGGGGUAACGGCCCACCAAGGCAACGAUGGAUAGGGGAACUGAGAGGUUUAUCCCCCACACUGGUACUGAGACACGGACCAGACUCCUACGGGAGGCAGCAGUGAGGAAUAUUGGUCAAUGGGCGCAAGCCUGAACCAGCCCACGUCGCGUGAAGGAAGACGGCCCUACGGGUUGUAAACUUCUUUUGCAAGGGAAUAAAGUGGGCCACGUGUGGCCUUUUGCAAGUACCUUGCGAAUAAGGAUCGGCUAACUCCGUGCCAGCCGCAGC
This 529-nucleotide ribosomal RNA is filed under the name uncultured bacterium. RNAcentral describes it as "bacterial SSU rRNA". It matches the Rfam family "Bacterial small subunit ribosomal RNA", at positions 1 to 518 of the family's 1533-position model. The record is from RNAcentral.